Pelobates cultripes (western spadefoot toad) is the source of this 264-nucleotide non-coding RNA. The record is from the annotation of a GenBank genome assembly. NCBI's taxonomy places the organism in Eukaryota, Metazoa, Chordata, Amphibia, Anura, Pelobatidae.
GUUAUUAAGGCAUAAAAAACAUAUAAAACCAAAAUAAAAUCAGCAUAAGCAUGUAGCGCCAAAUACAAAACAUACAGCAGAAAAUUAUUAUCACCGAGAUAAAAGGCAAUAAAAAGAUCAUAUAAUGUACCCACACUGAAACGAGGGAUACAAUGUAUUAUUGCUCUGGGACUUGGUCUCUCUUAUAGUCAGGCAUUGGUCAAGGUCACUGUCUGUUCCAGCUCUGUGCAGGUCCCAAUGAAGUAGUUGAGGGUUUUAUGAUUU